RNAcentral lists this ribosomal RNA (510 nucleotides) under uncultured bacterium. RNAcentral describes it as "partial 16S ribosomal RNA". It matches the Rfam family "Bacterial small subunit ribosomal RNA", at positions 28 to 507 of the family's 1533-position model. The record is from RNAcentral.
GACGAACGCUGGCGGCGUGCUUAACACAUGCAAGUCGAACGAAGAGCGAUGGAAGCUUGCUUCUAUCAAUCUUAGUGUCGAACGGGUGAGUAACGUGUAAUCAACCUGCCCUUCAGAUGGGGACAACAGUUGGAAACGACUGCUAAUACCGCAUACGAUCUAAUCUCUGCAUCGAGGAUAGAUUCAAGGUGUCCUCUACAUGUAAGCUAUCACUGAAGGUGGGGAUUGCGUCUGAUUAGCUAGUUGGAGGGGUAACGGCCCACCAAGGCGAUGAUCAGUAGGCGGUCUGAGAGGAUGGACGGCCACAUUGGGACUGGGACACGGCCCAGACUCCUACGGGAGGCAGCAGUGGGGAAUCUUCCGCAAAGGACGAAAGUCUGACGGAAGAACGCCGCGGGAGUGAUGACGGCCUUCGGGUUGUAAAGCUCUGUUAAUCGGGACGAAAGGCCUUCUUGCGAAUAGUGAGAAGGAUUGACGGUACCGGAAUAGAAAGCCACGGCUAACUACGUG